GGCGUAAAGCGCAUGCAGGUGGUUAGAUAAGUCAGAUGUGAAAGCCCCGAGCUCAACUUGGGAAUUGCAUUUGAAACUGUCUGGCUAGAGCCCUGUAGAGGGGGGUAGAAUUUC
Molecule: ribosomal RNA, 114 nt
Filed under: uncultured bacterium
Lineage: Bacteria
Description: partial 16S ribosomal RNA
Rfam family: Bacterial small subunit ribosomal RNA
Source: RNAcentral